UGCUUUAUGAAGUAUUAAUAUAAAGUAAUUUCCUGCCCAGUGACUCAAUAGUUCAACGGCCGCGGUAUCCUAACCGUGCAAAGGUAGCAUAAUCAUUUGCCCAUUAAUUGUGGGCUAGAAUGAAAGGACCAACGAAAUAUAAACUGUCUCUAUAAGCUCAAUAAAAAUUAAUAUCUAACUGAAGAAUGUUAGAUACUGUUGAAGGACAAGAAGACCCUAUAGAGCUUAAUUUUAAUAAAAACUUAAAUUUUACUAAAAUUCGGUUGGGGCGACCUGGGAAGUUAAUAAUCAUCCCAAAUACAAAGAUUUAUUAAUCAACUAUAUGACCCUUUUAAGAUCUAAAAAACAAGCUACCUUAGGGAUAACAGGCUAAUCUAGCUAAAGAGUCCUUAUCAAUAGCUAGGUUUGGCACCUCGAUGUUGGCUUAGGGGAUCAAUACGACGCAAAAGUCGUAAUAAGAUGGUUUGUUCAACCAAUAACACCCUACAUGAGCUGAGUUCAGACCGGCGUAAGCCAGGUUAGUUUCUAUCCUCAAUAAAUAAAUCUAUCUACAGUACGAAAGGACCCAGAUAAGAGUAAUAAUUAUCUUAAUAGAAUUAAUAUAAUAACUUAUAAAUAAAAAACAUCAUACACUAUG
RNAcentral lists this ribosomal RNA (637 nucleotides) under Healyella jordanis. RNAcentral's name for it is "partial 16S ribosomal RNA". It matches the Rfam family "Bacterial large subunit ribosomal RNA", at positions 1819 to 2827 of the family's 2925-position model. Lineage: Eukaryota; Metazoa; Annelida; Clitellata; Crassiclitellata; Lumbricidae. The record is from RNAcentral.